UCUCCAUAUUGGGCUAUAUAAGGUUCAGUGGUAUCAUCAUGGAAUGGCUCUUUUGGAGCUUUCUUGGCAGUAGUUGUUGUGUACCCAGCUAUGUAAGGUGCAUUGGGAUCAUGGGUGGUUCUAGUCCUAUACCCUGCAAUGUAAGGUGCAUUGGGAUCAUGGGUGGUUCUAGUCCUAUACCCUGCAAUGUAAGGUGUAUUGGAAUCAUGUGUGGUUCUAGUCCUAUACCCUGCAAUGUAAGGUGUAUUGGAAUCACGGGUUGUCCUAGUUCUAUACCCUGCAAUGUAAUUUGGUUGAUUGUUAGCCAUAUGUGCACUAGUUGUGUACCCAGCUAUGUAAGGUGCAUUAGAAUCAUAAGUGUUGGUCCUAUACCCUGCAAUGUAAGGUGUAUUGGAUUCUUGGGCUUUAUGGGAAGCACUAGUUGUUCUGUAACCAGCUAUGUAUGGUGUAUUGGAAUCAUAGGUUUUGGUUCUAUACCCUGCUAUGUGUUGAUUGGCUUUGUUUGCAGCAUUGCUUGUUGUGUACCCAGCUAUGUAAGGUUGAUGGAACUUUUCAUGGUUAUGGUUGCGCUUAGUAGCAGUAUAUGAAGCUAGGUAAUUAGGUUCAGCGGAUUCUGAAGUGGUUAUGUACCCUUGGCCAUAUGACUCGUCAUUAGACACUGAUGUGGCUUUGUACCAUUCAUC
This 683-nucleotide long non-coding RNA is filed under the name Glycine max (soybean). Its description in RNAcentral is "long non-coding RNA (GMAX_LNC002438)". Lineage: Eukaryota; Viridiplantae; Streptophyta; Magnoliopsida; Fabales; Fabaceae. The record is from RNAcentral.